Molecule: RNA transcript, 2982 nt
Organism: Passer montanus (Eurasian tree sparrow)
Lineage: Eukaryota; Metazoa; Chordata; Aves; Passeriformes; Passeridae
Gene: POC5
Gene name: POC5 centriolar protein
Exons: 14
Source: RefSeq, a predicted model, not a curated record
UCAGUUUAGUGCAGCGAAUGGGCAUUGAUCCAGUUGUUACAGCAGAAUCUGUUUCUGGGGAAAAUGUUGGUGAAUAUAUGUUUACGUACUGAAACUGAAAAAUGAAGUUCAGCUUCUACUGUUUUAUAGACUUACUUUGUGCAGAAUGUCAUCUGAUGAGGAGAAAAGCACAAGUCCAGUUUUCCCAAAUGACUUUGUUCAGGACAGUUCUCUUUCUUCAGAUCCUCAGAUUUGUCACUGGAUGCUGUCUAUUGACACUUUCUGUUGGCGCGCAAGCGAUGAAUAUGAAGAGCUGUUUUGUUAUACUGCAAUGACUCCGAAGUUUGAGCAGUGUGUCUCAAAGUUGCUAGAACCUGCCUCAGCACAGAGACCACCUGAAAGAGUUUCCAGGUUAACAGAUUAUGCCAGUCACCAUAAUACUCCAGUCUCAACAUCAGUGAAGCAGGCUGGUAUGGAACAACCUGCUCUUCCAGAAGCAACUUCUUCCACACAUAGUUCAAGAGAAGUCAGCAAAACCACAGUGACUGAAUUAACUUCACCAGAUGGAAAUGUGACUCAGAUAGAAAAUAUAGUUGAUCUCUGGAGUGGAAAUCUUAAGACAAAUAUUCUGACUGAACUGAAAAAUUGGGAACUUAAUUUGAUUCAACAUCACAAGCUUCAAAUGAAACAAGAGAAAGAGAAACAUGCCACACAAGUGAAACAACUGCAGAAUGAGAUUGAAAACCUGAAAGAGUUACUUCAUACUUAUGAAAUCUCUAUUAGCAGGAAAGAUGAGGUAAUUACAAACUUGACCCAAGCAUUAGAAAAGCAAAAGCAGAGAGUAAUGUUGAUGAGAAAGUUUACACUGUGGCGGAUUCAGCAUGUUAAAGCCAAACAAGAGGAAUAUGCAAUUAGAAUGGCAGAUACACAUUUCCAGACAGCUUUGAUGAAGAAAGUGUGGGCCGCAUGGCGCUCUGUUAGUGAAGAAAGAUGGAAAGACAAAGUAGCAAGAGCCUGUCAGUUAAGGGCAGAAGAUGUGUGUGUUCAGCUCACCAAUGAUUAUGAAGAGAAAAUUGCAGAGUUAACUGCUGCUUUGGAACUGACAAGAGCUGAGAUUCUGCGACUGCAUACUGAAAGAGAUCAUUAUGAAGACACCAUGAAGAAAGCCUUUAUGCGUGGUGUAUGUGCUUUGAAUCUGGAAGCCAUGACCAUGUUCCAAAGCAAGGAAAAUAGCCCAGAUCCUGAUACAGGAAGCAGGAGAAAUGAUCACGCUGCCACUGGUGCAGGAAGGCCACCUCCUUCACAAUAUAAUCAACCCCCACCACCACCUCCACCAGCAGCUGCUCUUCAGACAGAAAACAUGUUUUGUUGCCACUUGGCUCAUGCAAGCACUCCUGAGACCAGGCUAGAUUCUGAUUCUCCAGUUAUUGUCACUAGCACGACAUCAGGAUCUGGUGUGACAUCAACACAAAAACUGCCCAUGCCAAAAGUAAUAACAUCUGCACAACAGAAAGCAGGAAGAACAAUCACUGCUCGAAUCACAGGUCGAGCUGAUAUGGGACAAAAAUCCAGAGCGUCUGGGGGUUUAGCAGUGAUGGGAGUUGCUCCACCCAUGAGUUCAGUUAUUGUUGAGAAGCACCAUCCAGUCACUCAGCAAACCAUAUCACAAGCCACUGCUGCUAAGUAUCCUCGAACUGUGCUUCAUUCUUCUGGCUCUACCACUGCGAGACCUGCAGGACAAGCUGGGCGAGUGCUUCAAACUCAUACCAGUGUUCAGUCAAUAAAAGUUGUUGACUGACUGAUAUCUUGCUCACCAGUAGGGGUUUUUAAUCAAGAUGGUAAGCUGGCUCACAGAACAAAAAGAAAAUUACUUUCUCAUUGGACCUGAAAGGAGCACAACUGCAAGAUGAUGCUUCAUGGGUAUAGAAGGAGCCACAGUUAUUCAAAGCCAUUGCUGCAACACCAGCUGCCGAGGCAGAACAUCAUCUCAGGGUUUAAGUAUCCAUCUGAAUGGAUCUGGAAUGUCACCAUGAUUCUCAGAUGACCUGGAGUGCUAAAGGGAAAACUCUCCAUCACUGCACCUGUGAAGCUGCAUCUCUUCUGGCACUGAGCCUGGCUGCAGAUGCACAAUUACAAGGAGCCACAAGACAUUUUCCCCUCUGCAAGCCAUAUUUUCCAUGAAAAAUUUCUGGAAUGUCUCCAUCUCUUUGGGAGCCCCCCAGGAACCCUGGCCAGCCCCGACAAGGCUGACAGCGGGGGGACACUCUCUGGUGCCCCAAGGGUACCAAGACACCUAGGCUAGUCACCUUUGCAGCAGAGGCAGAGGAUGAAAGGGCUGACUCUUAGCAGGGGUUAAUCCAAGGUUUUAUUCGGAGCUCGUGGAUGCUCCCACACCUCAGGGGGCCUCCUGCUCAGAGUGUCCGGGAGAGGUGCCAAGGUUGCAUUUAAAGGGAGGUAUAAACCAAAAAAGCAGAUAAAUUUGCUGACCAAUAAAGAAACUUCAGGGGUGAAAACUUAGGGAAGGGACAUUUGGUAAGCAUAUAGGGUAGCACUCGGGGAGUUGACCCCUGGUCUCUGGCUAUUCACUCGAUGGCCUGGACUGAAAAUUCUAGAUAGAAAGGAUGGGAUGCUGAGUGACUGACAGACAGCUAGGGUGGGGAUUUCGGGAUGACCUCAACAAAGGAGGGGGAAUACACAGGUAGAGGGAGGAGGUACAAUCAGGGGUAAACCAUUUGUGAAAAAUAAGGAGAUACAAAAACAAAACCAUUAAAAAGUAUAAACACAUUACAACACUGGAUGCAGUGUUUGUCUUUCAAACCACAGAGCUUGGGAGCUUUACAGCUCUUUACCAAAACCAUCAGAUCUGUACAUGCUGCAGGCAUAGCAAUAUUAAAAUACUUCCUUUGUAGUUAGCUUUACUUAGCAAACAAAAUUCGCAACAUGUGCUUUAUGCACCUGUGUAAGGAAGAUUAUAGAACAAAAAAUAAAAUAAUGUAAUCCUUA